AUACGAAGGUCCCAAGCGUUAUUCGGAAUCACUGGGCGUAAAGAGUACGUAGGCGGUUUGGUAAGUCAGGUGUGAAAUACCGAAGCUCAACUUCGGAACUGCAUCCGAUACUGCCAGACUAGAGUAAUGGAGAGGCAGGUGGAAUUCUCGGUGUAGCAGUGAAAUGCGUGGAUAUCGAGAGGAAGACCAAUGGCGAAGGCAGCCUGCUGGACAUUUACUGACGCUGAGGUACGAAGGCUAGGGGAGCGAAAGGGAUUAGAAACCCCAGUAGUCC
This 274-nucleotide ribosomal RNA is filed under the name uncultured bacterium. RNAcentral's name for it is "partial 16S ribosomal RNA". It matches the Rfam family "Bacterial small subunit ribosomal RNA", at positions 523 to 796 of the family's 1533-position model. The record is from RNAcentral.